This 403-nucleotide ribosomal RNA is filed under the name uncultured bacterium. Its description in RNAcentral is "partial 16S ribosomal RNA". It matches the Rfam family "Bacterial small subunit ribosomal RNA", at positions 29 to 526 of the family's 1533-position model. The record is from RNAcentral.
AUUGAACGCUGGCGGCAGGCCUAACACAUGCAAGUCGAGCGAGCGGCGGACGGGUGAGUAAUGUAUGGGGACUGCCCGAUAGAGGGGGAUCACUACUGGAAACGGUGGCUAAUACCGCAUACUAUCGGAUCACCCAUAUGGGAUUAGCUAGUAGGGGGGGUAAAGGCUCACCUAGGCGACGAUCUCUAGCUGGUCUGAGAGGAGGAUCCACCACACUGGGAACGAGAAACGGCCCAGACGCCUACGGAGGCCGCAGGGGGGAAUAGUUGCACAUGGGGUCAAGCCCGAUUCAGCCCAGCCGGGUGUAAUAAGAAGGCCUUAGGGGUGUAAAGGUCUUUUAGGGGGGAGGCGUUACCCGCAGAAGAAGCACCGGCUAACUCCGUGCCAGCAGCCGCGGUAAUUC